Molecule: long non-coding RNA, 713 nt
Filed under: Coturnix japonica (Japanese quail)
Lineage: Eukaryota; Metazoa; Chordata; Aves; Galliformes; Phasianidae
Description: lncRNA (ENSCJPG00005007611.1)
Source: RNAcentral
AUGGGGUGGCCCAUCCAUGGUGAAGGGGUCUUCUGUGGGACUUGGAGUGGCUCCUGGGUGGUGAUGACUCCUUGGUGGUGGUGGUCUUGGUCCUGCAGGAAUGAGCUGGAGAGAGGAGAAGCUGGGUUCUGUAUCCUGCUGAAGAAGAUGACUUUAUUACAAGCAUCAGAAUUAUUGGCUCCUGAAGGCUCUUUGGGAUUAUUUCUGAUGUGAGCGCUACUGUUCUGCGUUGCCUGUGGGAUCUGAGAUGCCUGAGACUAUCUGCCCUGUAGGGGAAGGGCUGGGCUUAGCUCACUUGAGGGUUUGUGGUGGAGUGGAUACCUGUCUGUCUCUAACUUAAAACAGUAAUUCCUUACAUACCUCACAAAGAUGUGGGUGUGCGGUCUCUUUCUGUGCGUUGGCCUCGCUCGUUUGCCGCUGAAGGUUUUCAUCUUGGGGAAUGUGAAGAGGAAGAGGGAUGAUCCCUGAAGCGAUUGGCUCUUUGGCACUGCAUGCUCUGUAAAAGACAAAGUGAGACUGAAAUCAAUAACAUAUUUUUACAAGUUACCUAUGGCAUAGAUACUGUGCAUCAGACUUGCUUUGUGCAGUGUAAUGGCUGACUGUGUUGCCAGUGUUUGUGUUGUUGUAGCUGUAUUUCCAGAUAGAAUUGUUUCUUGAGCUCAGUAUGGCUCAGUGACUGCCUUGUUUUACAAUAAAUAAAGAAAAAAAAACCA